This 260-nucleotide ribosomal RNA is filed under the name uncultured Lactobacillus sp. RNAcentral describes it as "partial 16S ribosomal RNA". It matches the Rfam family "Bacterial small subunit ribosomal RNA", at positions 280 to 524 of the family's 1533-position model. Lineage: Bacteria; Bacillati; Bacillota; Bacilli; Lactobacillales; Lactobacillaceae. The record is from RNAcentral.
UGCAUAGCCCGAGUUGAGAGACUGAUCGGGCCACAUUGGGGACUGAGACACGGGACCCAAAACUCCUACGGGGAGGCAGCAGUAGGGAAUCUUCCACAAUGGACGAAAGUCUGAUGGAGCAACGCCGCGUGAGUGAAGAAGGUUUUCGGAUCGUAAAAAGCUCUGUUGUUGGUGAAGAAGGAUAGAGGUAGUAACUGGCCUUUAUUUGACGGUAAUCAACCAGAAGUCACGGCUAACUACGUGCCAGCAGCCGCGGUAAU